RNAcentral lists this ribosomal RNA (486 nucleotides) under uncultured bacterium. RNAcentral describes it as "SSU rRNA". It matches the Rfam family "Bacterial small subunit ribosomal RNA", at positions 26 to 521 of the family's 1533-position model. The record is from RNAcentral.
AGGAUAAACGCUGGCAGCGUGCCUAACACAUGCAAGUCGAACGCGCUUGCUAUCCGCGAGGACGGUGAGCGAGUGGCGGACGGGUGAGGAACACGUGGGUGACCUACCUUUCAGUGAGGGAUACCGGCGAGAAAUUGCCGACAAGACCGCAUACGCUUCUCUUUUCAAGGGGAGAAGGAAAGCUUUUCGCAAGAGAGGCGCUGGGAGAUGGGCCUGCGGCCGAUUAGCUAGCUGGUGGGGUAAUGGCCUACCAGGGCGACGAUCGGUAGCUGGUCUGAGAGGACGAUCAGCCACACUGGGAUUGAGAACGGCCCAGACUCCUACGGGGGGCAGCAGUGAGGAAUUUUCGGCAAUGGGGGCAACCCUGACCGAGCAACGCCGCGUGCAGGACGACGGCCUUCGGGUUGUAAACUGCUUUUCUCUGGGACGAGCAAGGACGGUACCAGAGGAAGAAGCCCCGGCUAACUACGUGCCAGCAGCCGCGGU